CACUAAAUGUCUGAUAAAAAGAAUUAAUUUUUUAAAUUAAGAUAUAAUAACAUAAGUUAUUUUUAGUGA
RNAcentral lists this transfer RNA (69 nucleotides) under Lepidotrigona flavibasis. Its description in RNAcentral is "tRNA-Lys". The record is from RNAcentral. Lineage: Eukaryota; Metazoa; Arthropoda; Insecta; Hymenoptera; Apidae.